UAAAAAUACUAAUUAAAUUGAAAUGAAACAAUAAUUAAAUGUACGGAUUAAUUUAAAACGAGGAUAAAAAGAUUACCAAAAGCCCUCGGGCCUUUUUGUUUUUUUUUCUUUUCUCUUUUUUCCUUUUUUCUUUUUCUUUUCUUUUUCCUCUUUUAUUUUUUAUUUUUGCAGAUUGGGCCGCUGGGCGUUGGGUUGACUGCUGGCCUACUGCUGGAACGGGCCUGGGACUGCUGGACUGGGUGCUGGCCUGCUGCUGGAAUGGGCCUGGGGCUGCUGGAGCUAACCUGCUGGAGCUGCUGGGAGUUGGGCUGGGCAGUGGCCUGCUGCGGGUUGUGGGCCUGCUGUCUUGGGCUUCUGCUGCUGGAUCAGCCUGCUGAUUCUGCACUAAUCUGUUGCUGCUGUUUUUUAUUCUUUAUUAUUUUUUUCCUUUUUCUUUUUUUUCUUUUCUUUUCUUCUUAUUUUUUCUUUUUUCUUUCUAUUUUUCUUCUUCUUCCUCUUUGGAAACCUAGCCCGCCGCUGUUUCUCCCCUGUCGUUCACUGCUGCCGUCGACUCCUCCGUUCGGUGGCGUUGGUCACGGCGUUUUCCUUUCCCUCAUCUCUUCUUCUUCUUUCUUCUCUUCUUUCUUCUUUGCUUUUUUUUCUUGCUACUGUUUUUUCUUUCUUUUGUUUAUGCUUGCUCGUUUCUUGGCUUGACUUCGGUGGGGAGCAACGAUGGUCGUGGCGCGGCGGUCGUGGUGGCGUGGGUGCGGUUGCGGUGGCAGAGGAGGGCAUCAUGGCCUAGGCCAUCUGCCGGAGUAGCUGGAGGUGAGGGGAAGCACGCUCGACUGCUGAUUGGGGGGUCUGACAUGCCCAGAAGGACCAAAAUGUAGAAGACGUAAAACAUUUGGGGUAAAAAUGUAAUUUUAGGAAAAUAUAGGGCCAACAUGUAAUUUCUAGAAAAUUUAGGGGUCAAAGUGAAAUUUUGAGAAAGUUUAGGGUUUGAAAUGUAAUUUAGAAAAGUUCAUGGGCCAAAAUGUAAUUUUUAUUUUUUGUUUUGUUUUUU
Long non-coding RNA from Gossypium raimondii (Peruvian cotton), 1042 nucleotides. RefSeq lists it as uncharacterized. NCBI's taxonomy places the organism in Eukaryota, Viridiplantae, Streptophyta, Magnoliopsida, Malvales, Malvaceae. The record is from RefSeq and is a predicted model, not a curated record. The transcript has 2 exons.